UACGUAGGGUGCAAGCGUUAAUCGGAAUUACUGGGCGUAAAGCGUGCGCAGGCGGUGAUGCAAGACAGAUGUGAAAUCCCCGGGCUUAACCUGGGAACUGCAUUUGUGACUGCAUUGCUGGAGUGCGGCAGAGGGGGAUGGAAUUCCGCGUGUAGCAGUGAAAUGCGUAGAUAUGCGGAGGAACACCGAUGGCGAAGGCAAUCCCCUGGGCCUGCACUGACGCUCAUGCACGAAAGCGUGGGGAGCAAAAGGG
This 253-nucleotide ribosomal RNA is filed under the name uncultured bacterium. RNAcentral describes it as "partial 16S ribosomal RNA". It matches the Rfam family "Bacterial small subunit ribosomal RNA", at positions 524 to 776 of the family's 1533-position model. The record is from RNAcentral.